ACAACAUUUGGACCGUCCGUCUACCGAGGAAUAUCAUCCGCCCGGUGGAAGAUCUUCCCUUUUUCGU
Molecule: microRNA precursor, 67 nt
Filed under: Bombyx mori (domestic silkworm)
Lineage: Eukaryota; Metazoa; Arthropoda; Insecta; Lepidoptera; Bombycidae
Description: mir-2774 microRNA precursor family
Rfam family: mir-2774 microRNA precursor family
Source: Rfam by way of RNAcentral